RNAcentral lists this transfer RNA (74 nucleotides) under Pseudobdellovibrionaceae bacterium. Its description in RNAcentral is "Bdellovibrionaceae bacterium (activated sludge metagenome) tRNA-Cys". It matches the Rfam family "tRNA". From Rfam's summary of the family: Transfer RNA (tRNA) molecules are approximately 80 nucleotides in length. The record is from RNAcentral. Lineage: Bacteria; Pseudomonadati; Bdellovibrionota; Bdellovibrionia; Bdellovibrionales; Pseudobdellovibrionaceae.
GGUGACGUGGCCGAGGGGUUAGGCAAGGCUCUGCAAAAGCCUCUACAGCAGUUCAAGUCUGCUCGUCACCUCCA